AUAAUGUAAACAAUUUAUUGGAACAAUGUACAGAUUCAAGCAAUGGUAACCAGUCACACCCACUAUAUCAUCUUACAAAUAUUACAAAAUUACUACAGUACAAUAUAGAGUCUUUGCAUGAUCCAAAAAAUUUGGUGGCCCCAAAAGUAUUACUUAUUUUUAAAAUUCAGCAGCUUAUAAAAAAAAGAAGAAAAAUCAAAACAUGUCGAUGAGAAUGAUGUUUUCACUUUCAUUAGCAAAAGGAUGAAGGCAGAUAAUCUAAUCAAGUUUAAAGGCUAAUUAAACUGUAGACUACUAGAGCUCCUUGACUAGACAUUCCUUAAUAUUAAUGGGUGCUUUAUAAAAUACAAAUUUUUCAAUAAAGCUUCAUAGAAAGUCAAACCUAUAUUUGCAGAGAGUUUAAGUUGUCAACAUAUGCAAUUACUUUUAAAUCAGCUUUCACCUGCAUCUCUACAUACAGUGUACUGUAUUUCUAUUGCAAAACCCCAGCAAAAAUCCUCAAAGUAUUUGCAUUCAAGGCAUUGUGCAGAGAUUACACCAUUUACCUAAGCCUGAUAACAAUCACGUUUGACAAUAAGGAUGUAAAAGUAGGAAUCAUUCCUACUUCCUGGUUUCCAACUGUAAUCCCACUGUUCAGCUAGCAGUGUUGCAUGUAUUAACGUUAAUGUGAAUUAACACCCAUUUUGAAGAUGAUGGGGUGGGUUUUUAAACCAAUCUUUCCUUGUUUGAAAAGAUGUGGAAAGGUGGAGACAUGAGGAAACCAAUUAAAAACCAACCAACAAACAAACAAACAAACAAACAAACACACACACACACACACACAUACACACUAGACAUAAACACAACCUGAGGUUAACACAAAAACAUAUUCAUAUAGUGAAACACAAGUACAAUGUAUAGCAGCAGUUACGUCAAAAUUAUAGCACAGUAGAAAUUGGGAUUGUUGUGUUUUGUAGUACUACUAUCUUUUGAAGAAAGAACAGAAGUGUGUGCACAUCCACCCCGUCAAGCUGCGAUUACUUCAUAUUUUUGCAAGCCAAACAGCUGGAAUGUGACAAGACAAAAAUCACUUCUAAACACAUAAAGAUGUGACACAUACGAGUAUUUGCCUCUGUAUUCCAUGAUGCAUUAUAACCUGCAUUCAUCGUGUACGUCCUCAAAAAAUGUUUCAUCUAACAUUAGUAAUACACUUCAUAAUGUGGCAGUUGAGCUAACACAUUAAACUACUUCUACACUCCAAUAUCCCAAUUGGAUCAAGAUGCUUAAUGCAUUAAGGUCCACACAUUUUAGCAGCAAUGCUCAACGAUCUGUCGGGUCAUAUUCUAAAGUGUUUGGCUACAUCAUUCAUUUUAAGCACUUGCCAAGUAAGUAAGUCGGUAAGCAAGUAAGUAAAUUGUAGGUGCAUCACAAAGGAUUUAAAUACUGCAGUUAUUACUCUGGCCAGCAGAGGAAGAAUGGAUGGGCAUAAAAAAUAAAAAAAUUAAAAUUAAACAAAACAAUAAUAUAAAAAUAAAAAAAAUAAAAAUCCAUCAUGGAAUACAUUCAGGCCAUCUGCAACUUAAACAUAUAGAUUAAAAAAAAAAGAAAAACAUAACACUGCAACACAAGAAGACAACAACAUGUAAUUUCACAGUAUUUAAAAUCUACACAUCUACACACAGGUGAAACGUGAGGGAGAGAACACUCCAGCAAGAUUACUGUGAAGACUUUAAAAGUCACAGUGACGCUGAACAUAAAUGGUUGCUAUAAAAAAAAUAAAUAAAGCAAAAACUUGAUUGAAGCUCCUGCAACCUUCCCGCUUUAAGUUGGGGUGUAAGGGGCCACCAACAUGCAAAAGAUGAAAGUACCCCACAGUGACAACCACCCAAAACAUUAGAAAGUCAUCCUCAAGAUCAUGCUUUUA
Oreochromis aureus is the source of this 1903-nucleotide long non-coding RNA. The record is from Ensembl. Lineage: Eukaryota; Metazoa; Chordata; Actinopteri; Cichliformes; Cichlidae.